CGACGGUUUCCCAUAUUUCAAUCGUGGUUUUCUUAUUUUUAUAAUGAUCAAAAUCCCUUAUUUCUUAUUUUUUGUAGUUACAUUAAUAUAAAAGUACAAUGAUAAUGCCCAAACAUUAAAAGAAAAACAAAUUUAUUAAGUUUUAUUAUGAUAUUACAUGAAUACAAUUAUUAAGCACAAAUUUGGUUAAAAUAUUGAAUGGAUCGGUCUAUGUUUGUAGGGCAAGUAAGUAUUGCCCUGGCUUCUUCAACAAAUGCAUGUUGAUCUUUUGAACUGAGUUUUCCAUAUUGCGUACAACAAACAGAUUUAAAUGGAGGAAGAUCUGGCUCGCACCAUAUAAAUAUAUCUAGCCUCUUGCCGGCGACAUGCACAGAAAUAAGAGAUCCGAGUUUGGGAAAUUGGUUAGGCAGCUUCUUUAAUUUGAUCAUGCGAAGGAGCUGAGGUUUUUCACAUUUGGAGGAAGACAAGAGAGGCGGAUCAGUGGCACUACAAUUACUAUAAUUGGCAGCCAAUAAUAGAUCAUGGACACUUUUCAAUCAUCAAGUCCCCACAACAAGAUUAAUUACCACCCAAUUAAACUCUCCCUUUUAAAUUCUAUAUUUAAAGUUGAUCCAAAAUUCAGAUUUUUUUUUUUCUCUCUCUUUUUUUUUGAGUUUUUGAUGGGAACUUGAUCGCUAUUUUAAUAUAGCAAUAAAAACUGCAACUAUAACAGUGUAAUUGUAACACCAAACAGCAAGUAGAGUAUCGUAUCCACGAGGACUGAUAAAUAAAAUCACUGUAAGUAAUUCUAAUAAGGACUAACAAUAUUCACGCAAAACACCAAAAUGAGUGAAUUAAUUAAAACUAAUACUAAAACAAAGCAAAUAAAAAUCAAGUAAAAAAUCAGAUAAUAAAACAACUGAUCCUAGGGAUGUAGAUUUAUUAAUCAAAUUCACAUAAUAAACCUAUAUAUUAAUCCUAAGUACCAGUUUAAUCCACUCUUGAUGAGCGAUCGCAUAGAUAAAAUCAAACGCUCUCGGUAGAGCAGCAUAUGACAUUACAUUAGUAAAUUCUCUGUCUCCGUUAGGUUUCAAGAAAAUCUAUUAACUCCCAAAAGCAAAUAAGAAUAGCUCCCUAUGAUCCACCUAUAUAUCUCCGUUAGGUCUCAAGAUUAAAAUCAUAUCAUAUAUUCCUGAAGGAAGAAGCUCAAGUGCACAAGAGAAUUCAUUUGAUGAAUUUGAGUUAAUGCGAAGCUCAAGAGGAGUAUGCAAUUCAUGCAUGCAGCCCAACUUCAUGUUAUCGAAAUGACACUAAUAUUAAAUGACACUAUCAUGUUAUCGAAAUGACACUGUACACCCGAGUGCACUGUGUACCCGGGUGCACAGGAGAAUUUGUGAAUAUUUAAUGCAGUACUAUGUUUUUUUUAAAAAGGAAAAAGUUUUGUUGGAAGAGUUCGAUGGAACUUUUAUUAAUUACUCAAAUAGUUAAACUACAUACUUAUUAGUAUUGAGAAACUUUAUUAAUUACUCAAAUAGUUAAACUACAUCAUUUUGCUUCUACAUAUGGCAUGUGAUCACUGAAACCUAAGAUAAUCUAUAUUGU
Molecule: long non-coding RNA, 1581 nt
Organism: Salvia miltiorrhiza (redroot sage)
Lineage: Eukaryota; Viridiplantae; Streptophyta; Magnoliopsida; Lamiales; Lamiaceae
Exons: 3
Source: RefSeq, a predicted model, not a curated record